Molecule: ribosomal RNA, 498 nt
Filed under: uncultured bacterium
Lineage: Bacteria
Description: partial 16S ribosomal RNA
Rfam family: Bacterial small subunit ribosomal RNA
Source: RNAcentral
ACUCAAAUGAAUAGACGGGGGCCCGCACAAGCAGCGGAGCAUGUGGUUUAAUUCGAAGCAACGCGAAGAACCUUACCAAGGCUUGACAUCCCACUAAACUCAUGGAAACAUGAGGUCCCUUCGGGGGAGUGGAGACAGGUGGUGCAUGGUUGUCGUCAGCUCGUGUCGUGAGAUGUUGGGUUAAGUCCCGCAACGAGCGCAACCCCUAUUGCCAGUUACCAGCACGUAAAGGUGGGAACUCUGGUGAGACCGCCGGGGACAACUCGGAGGAAGGUGGGGACGACGUCAAAUCAUCAUGCCCCUUAUGUCUUGGGCUACACACGUGCUACAAUGGCAGUUACAGAGGGCAGCGAAGCGGUAACGUGAAGCGAAUCUCAAAAAAGCUGUCUCAGUUCGGAUCGUGGGCUGCAACCCGCCCACGUGAAGUCGGAGUUGCUAGUAAUCGCGAAUCAUCAUGUCGCGGUGAAUACGUUCCCGGGCCUUGUACACACCGCCCGU